Molecule: ribosomal RNA, 429 nt
Filed under: uncultured bacterium
Lineage: Bacteria
Description: bacterial SSU rRNA
Rfam family: Bacterial small subunit ribosomal RNA
Source: RNAcentral
ACGAACGCUGGCGGCAGGCCUAACACAUGCAAGUCGAACGCUCCGCAAGGGGAGUGGCGCACGGGUGAGUAACGCGUGGGAAUCUACCUAUUAGUAAGGAAUAACAGUUGGAAACGACUGCUAAUACCUUAUACGCCCUACGGGGGAAAGAUUUAUCGCUAAUAGAUGAGCCCGCGUAAGAUUAGCUAGUUGGUGAGGUAAUGGCUCACCAAGGCUACGAUCUUUAGCUGGUCUGAGAGGAUGAUCAGCCACACUGGAACUGAGACACGGUCCAGACUCCUACGGGAGGCAGCAGUGGGGAAUAUUGGACAAUGGGCGAAAGCCUGAUCCAGCCAUGCCGCGUGUGUGAUGAAGGCCUUAGGGUUGUAAAGCACUUUCGCCGCCGAGGAUAAUGACGGUAAGCGGAUAAGAAGCCCCGGCUAACUUCGU